UAUUUUUCUUCCACUUUGAAUAAACCGGUCUCUGAGAUGAGUCAGUCCUUCUGAGAAGUACGCAGAGCUGUAACUAACACUCUUCCCAAUGUCAGAAACCUACAAAGAAAUCUAUCAGCUAAAACUUAGAGAAGGAGAGGGACAGAGACAGAGACUGGUUCUACAAAAGGCCCUUUGAAGACAGAAAAAUAUGAAAACAUUUGGGAGAAAAUAUUCGCAAACUGCAUUUUUAACGAAGGAUGCGCAUCUCGAAUAUAUAACAAACCCUCAAAACUCAACAAGAAAAACAAACAAACAACCAAAACAAUCCAAACAGAAAGUGGGUGAACUAUGUGGGCUAACAUGUCACUGGAGAAGGUGCCCAGAUGGCAGAUGAGCACGUGAAGUGAUCUCCA
This is a long non-coding RNA of Prionailurus viverrinus (fishing cat), 395 nucleotides long. RefSeq lists it as uncharacterized. The record is from RefSeq and is a predicted model, not a curated record. NCBI's taxonomy places the organism in Eukaryota, Metazoa, Chordata, Mammalia, Carnivora, Felidae. The transcript is spliced from 3 exons.